This 275-nucleotide long non-coding RNA is filed under the name Bos taurus (domestic cattle). RNAcentral's name for it is "long non-coding RNA NONBTAT010871". Lineage: Eukaryota; Metazoa; Chordata; Mammalia; Artiodactyla; Bovidae. The record is from RNAcentral.
CAUUCUUGAUCUCUGGAAGCAGUCAUUAUUAUGAGGAUCAUUUUACUUUGAAAACACUUUCAUAAUAAAGAUAAGUCUUAAGAGUACAGUGUAAAUGCCCUUUUCUGUAAGCACUACUGAACUUGUAUUGGUAAUGUGCCACAUCUUCCUGGACAAGAUUCAUUUCAGUGUUCACAUCAUCCUACAGUUUUCUUGUAAGCCUCCUCAAAUCCCAGAGUCGCUAUGAUUAUGAAAAAGGAAUGUAGUAUUUAUACGUUAUAUAUAUACAUAUAUAU